This is a non-coding RNA of Xyrichtys novacula (pearly razorfish), 262 nucleotides long. The record is from the annotation of a GenBank genome assembly. Lineage: Eukaryota; Metazoa; Chordata; Actinopteri; Labriformes; Labridae.
CAGUUACAAGAUAUAAAAAGUCGACUCUGGAUGGCAUAUUUGGUUCAACGUUGUUUUGUUUCAUAGUGCCUUUUUAAAAUGGCGGGUCAGUUAACUGUUCACGACUUUUUAUAUCUAUGACUGUUGAGUGUCUCCUCUUGUGUUUUCAUCCCUCGUUGGGUCCCCAGGCUGAACUGAACUUUCUUCCCUCCCUGUAGGGCCCACUCCACUCCACUCCACCAAACGGCACGGGGACCCACAGUUGUGCCGUGACGUCACUUGG